Balaenoptera musculus (blue whale) is the source of this 315-nucleotide long non-coding RNA. RefSeq lists it as uncharacterized. Lineage: Eukaryota; Metazoa; Chordata; Mammalia; Artiodactyla; Balaenopteridae. The record is from RefSeq and is a predicted model, not a curated record. The transcript has 3 exons.
CAGCGGUGGGGCUGUUGGCUCCGCGGAGUUAGACGCCGAGGGGCCUUUGGAAGCCGGUGCAACUUAGCUACUUUGGACCAGACCGGAACUAGGGAAGGACUAGGGGGUUGGUGAUGUUCAGGGAUGUGGCUGUAGACUUCUCUCAGGAGGAGUGGGAAUGCCUGGACUCUACUCAGAGGGAUUUAUAUAGAGAUGUAAUGAUGGAGAAUUACAGCAACCUGGUCUUACUAGGACUCUCUAUUCCUAAGCCUGAUGUGAUUUUCUUAUUAGAGCAAGGGAAAGAGCCCUGGAUUUUUUCAAGGAACAUGGUGGGAG